ACAUCUAAAGACAGAACAAGUAACUCUACUAUAACAAACAUAAAAGGAGAAAACUACAACUUGCUAACUAUGAAUUUGAGUCCAAUUGCAGGAACAGAUAGAAAGAUAACAAAGGAACACAUGACCAGAUAGGAUUUAUUUUCAAAGCGUUAUAGCUUAUAGCCUCGGUAUAUAUAUAUAUAUAUCCAUGCUGUUCUACUCAAACCUCUUUAAACAGAGCUGAUUUACUUAGAAACAAUCAAACGGAGAAAGUUGAACUUCAGCUG
RNAcentral lists this unclassified non-coding RNA (266 nucleotides) under Hevea brasiliensis (rubber tree). The record is from RNAcentral. Lineage: Eukaryota; Viridiplantae; Streptophyta; Magnoliopsida; Malpighiales; Euphorbiaceae.